This is a long non-coding RNA of Python bivittatus (Burmese python), 839 nucleotides long. RefSeq lists it as uncharacterized. The record is from RefSeq and is a predicted model, not a curated record. Lineage: Eukaryota; Metazoa; Chordata; Lepidosauria; Squamata; Pythonidae.
AGCACACCCAAAUCCUUGGACACUAUACAACUAUCCUUGGAAGUGAAUGGAUAUGCCUCUGAAGGCAAAGGAUCAAUGUGCAUGCCUUGUUUCCCACAGAAAUCAAAUUUGAGUGAUUAUAAUAUGCAUAUCCUUAGAGGAGGAGUUAGUGGACAACAGCAAAACAAAUUCUUCUGAAGUCUCUCCAAGGAAUACCAGGGUGAAGAAAGAGAUUGAUCAAGCAUUUGAAGUUGUGAAGGACUUAAAGAACAAAACUUCUUGAUGAGAUAAUUUGUGCUUGAGGAUCAACUUAGAUCAGCUCAAGGAAUGACAGCAGAAGUCUGAGAAAGCUCUGGAUCUUCAGACCAGUUGCUGCUACAAAGACUCACAGCUGGGGCAAUCACCUGGUUCCCCCCAGUGGUUCCUAGAGCGGAGGUAAAUCCUGCACAUAAAUUAUGAUAUCAUCUUCUCAAUCCCUCUGACUCAAUUUCCAUAUCUAUACAAUGAAAGUAAAAUAUGGGAGAGGUGAAGCUUGUUUUACAGAUACUCAUUAAUUUUGUAAAUGUACUUUAAAGACCCACAGAUGCUCAUUCUAAUGUUAUCAGGGAGGGUUCCUCAUUUGUGUUCCUCAUCUUGAACCAAGAGAUCACAGGGUGAAUGUUCAUAUAGUAUCUUUAAAAAAAAAAAAGGCAGAAGAUCAUCUAUGAAUUCCAAGAAGUAGAAACAGGAGAUUAGAUGGAUGGAUGGAUGGAUGGAUGGAUGGAUGGAUGGAUGGAUGGAUGGAUGGAUGGAUGGAUGGAUGGAUGGAUGGUUUGGCUGGUAAUGUUGGGCCACUCAUCACUUCUCACCCAACAUUCAUC